AAAUGCAUAGCUUUCCUCCGUUUCAUUACGACCACUAUAUAAUCCCGAAAUGUCAUCAAAUCCCAAAAUCUUUUUCAUGAUUCCUACCUCGCUUUUUUCAGACACCCAAAUACGAUAAGGAAAAUGAUCUGCAAUAGCUUGGCUGUCAUAGAUUAGCUUUGCAAGGCAUGUCUUGCCAAUGCCUCCAACGCCCGCAAUUGAAAUGGUGAUGCAGCGAUGGUCAUCUUUCAGCAGCUGUGCCAUAACUGCAUCAACAUCCUCAUCGAAGCUAACCAUAUCAAGUUGAUCAGAAUCACGAGGUGGUGGUUCUUGCUGUUUAUAAAAAUUUAUGUAACCACUCCGUGAAACUAAACUCGGAAUGGCUCCACGUCGUCUCUUCGAAAUAUCACGGAUCUUAUCAUUUAUCCGGGCCAUCUGCUGGAAAAGCUUAUGCUGGGAAAUGAAAUUCUGGGGAGCCCAGACCAAGUUUUGUAAAGGUCCUCUCUUCUCGUUCUUCAUCCGUUGCAAGAAGAGCCCAACAAAAUUCUCAGCUGAGCGACAAACAUCGCAAAGUUCCUCCAUCCACGCCAUUCCCGCUUCACUUAAUUCUUUUGAUUGUUCAAUAUCUUUUAGAAAAUCCUGCAAAGACUUGAAUUCGUCUCUUAACCUCCUGGCUUGCCUUCGCACAGUAGGACGAAGCUCAAUCCGAGUGGCUAAGGCCUCAAACAAACCUAUAACUGGAGAAAUUACAGAGUAGCCAAAAGCCACUUCGUAUAAGCCAAAGGAGUCGUAC
This 772-nucleotide unclassified non-coding RNA is filed under the name Hevea brasiliensis (rubber tree). The record is from RNAcentral. Lineage: Eukaryota; Viridiplantae; Streptophyta; Magnoliopsida; Malpighiales; Euphorbiaceae.